UGGGGAAUAUUGGGCAAUGGGGGAAACCCUGACCCAGCAACGCCGCGUGAAGGAAGAAGGCUUUCGGGUUGUAAACUUCUUUUACCAGGGACGAAAAAAAUGACGGUACCUGGAGAAUAAGCCACGGCUAACUACGUGCCAGCAGCCGCGGUAAUACGUAGGUGGCAAGCGUUGUCCGGAUUUACUGGGUGUAAAGGGCGCGUAGGCGGGAUGGCAAGUCAGAUGUGAAAUAUGAGGGCUUAACCCUCAAACUGCAUUUGAAACUGCUGUUCUUGAGUGAUGGAGAGGCAAGCGGAAUUCCUAGUGUAGCGGUGAAAUGCGUAGAUAUUAGGAGGAACACCAGUGGCGAAGGCGGCUUGCUGGACAUUAACUGACGCUGAGGCGCGAAAGCGUGGGGAGCAAACA
Molecule: ribosomal RNA, 405 nt
Filed under: uncultured prokaryote
Description: bacterial SSU rRNA
Rfam family: Bacterial small subunit ribosomal RNA
Source: RNAcentral